Raphanus sativus (radish) is the source of this 2767-nucleotide long non-coding RNA. RefSeq lists it as uncharacterized. Lineage: Eukaryota; Viridiplantae; Streptophyta; Magnoliopsida; Brassicales; Brassicaceae. The record is from RefSeq and is a predicted model, not a curated record. The transcript has 3 exons.
UCAGAUUGAUGAACAAAUUUUCUAAGCUUUCGCCGGCGAUGUUACACACGCGCCACCUUUGGAAAAGCUGGUUUAAAAUUGAAGACCCCAACUAUUUGCAGAUUUGACUGACCAGGUGUACUCUGUUAUCCACUCACUUUUGAACACGUGUCUGAAACCCUCUUUAAACUCUCUUAACAAAGAUUGGACCAAAAACAACAAAAAUGGAAAAAAAAUUAAAAUAAAAUUUUAAAGUUGAAACAACAACCAUAAUCUCCGCUGUAUCAAACCCUCUAUAUCUCCUAUCGACCUCUAUCUCUUUAUAUACCGGCUGUGUGGCCGACAGAGGCGGAAAGUUAAAAUCACCAAACAGCAAGAUUUCUGAGAAUUCAUUAGGGUUCUGUCGAGUUUUUGUUAGGGUUUGUAGAGAUCUGUGAGAAUGGGAAGAUAACAGGAGUCUUUUUGAACAGAAAGUUUAUACGGGUUUAUUCAGUGAAGUGGUUAGAAGAUAGAGAAGGAGGUGGAUUGAGGAAUUGCAACAGAGAAAACUGACAGAAGAGAGUGAGCACAUGCAGGCACUUUUAUGUGUCCAUAACUUUGCUUGUGCGUGCUCACUUCUCUUUCUGUCAGAUGCCUGAGUUCUAGUUUACUCUCUCUCCCUCACUCCCUCCCUCUCUAAUUUCUUGACCUUAUCACUUACUCUUAUCAUCUCUUUUGUCGAGCACUUGGCUGGUGUUGUGGAUAAAGACUGAUGACCUUUAAUUCAUUUCGCUAUAUAUGUAGAUAUUAUAUGCUUUUUUCCUUUUUCUUUUCUUUCUUUUGUGUUGUUGUUGAAGUCGGUGGGCUUAAGAAUGUUUGGAGGAUAAAAUCUCAGAUUUAUAUAUUUGGAUUUAUGAUAAAUACAGAUUUUAAAUGUGUUAUGUUUAUAUAUGUAUAUAUGUUGUUUUCUUUCUAGUGAAUUUAGGAAAAGCGCGAGUUUUGAUGAUCAUGAUCCCCACCGGUACACAUUCUUCUCAGAGACUAAUUAACUAUUUACUGAUUGUCUCUUUGUCUUUUUUUCUUGGCUUCAGGUAAUCUGAGUUUUUCUUUUUUUGUUUGUUUGUUUAAGUUUCUGCAUGUUGAAAUUCUCUUAUGAUCUUAACAGCUAGGAACCUCAGAGUAUAAAGCUGUUUUCUUCCUCGCCUCUUCUUUCUUUUCAAACCAGAUUUGGUUUUCAGGCUUCACCAGAAGCCAUAAGUGAUGAUAUUUGUGAUUUAUAAUCCCUUCUCCAGUCCUAUUUGAUGUCGACACUGGCUAGUUAUGUGCCGUUUUUGUGAGUAUAUGAUUUUUUCUAAUGAGUAAGUUUGUAUUGAAGCACUGAAUCCAGCUGUUAAUUUGUUCUUAAACCGUCGUCCAUCAAAAAUUUCUUCUUUGGUGUUAGGUUUGUACGGAUUAAUGCUAGUUGGUGCAUUAAAGUCCCUAGACCUAAUGGUUUUUGUUAUAUCCCUUCCUGCAGGUUUCUUUCCAACUUUGUUAGGAAAGAGAUUUUUUUUUUUUUUUGCUAAAGGGAAAGAGAUUUAGUUCCUUGUUUUGCUUUCUUCCAAGUCGAAAUUGUUAAUUUCUGUUGAAAUGAUUCAUCUUAUAUGGUACUAAAGGAGCUUAAAAAUGUUAGUUUACUGUGAAAUCAUUUAUUCUCUGCUGCCACAGGUGGACAAAACAGUUAUUUUUUUUCACUGAGAUGAUUGGUAUUAUGAAAGUUUCGGAAUGUACAGUAUUUCAUCUUAUGUUUAAUCUUGUUGGUUUGAUCUUUUGUUAUGCUGGUCAAUCUUAGUGUUUGUCUUUCCAUGUGAUGCUUUUAUCAGGAUCCAGUUCUUUGUAGUUGGAGGCGUAGUUUUGCAGUGAUUUUGUUUAGUUCUGCGUUGAUUGUAAAUGCAUUACAAUGAUUUUAACUUAUACGCAUGAGUUUGUUUAUUUUUUCCCACUCCAGAAUAUUGACUCUAUAGGUCAUCUUGCUAAAUGCUAAUAUUGUGUCAGCUAUUCAAGCAAGAAGUCCUUGGGUUGUGUUUGAUGAAACCAAACUCUCUCUUGCCAGAGUAUCAUGUUUUCAUAACCAGGGAUUGAAUGUAGAGGCAGGUUCAACCAUAUCUCUGAUAUAAUGUGUGAUGCACCAUCUGAUAUGUUAGGCUGACUUUGUGGUCUUCCUUUUGUUGCAUCUCCAGUUAGCUAUAUAAUUAAGAUAUACUGAUUGUUUGAUAGGUAUACUGUGCUAAUUAAGGCAUUUAUUUGUAAGCUUUUAGGUAACUAUAAAGACUAUCAAUUGUGAGAAAAAGUGUUGUCGAUUGCCAUGUUUAAUCCUUUCUGUACAAGAGAAUGAGAUCAAAAUCAAGUGGGAAGAUAAUUCAAGUAUAUAUUUGCAAGGUUGGAAGUGUAGCAAUCAGAUGCAUCAGCCUUCCUUCAUCUCCUCUAUAUGCCUAUGCUAUAAAGUAUAGAGAACAGUUCAGACUUCUGGAGGUGUUAAUGGAUUUCUUUGCUUUUUCAAUCAAGAACUUGGUUCAUGUCGAUGAUAUCAAACAGAAGGUGCUUAUCGUACUCAAUUCAGGAUUGAGAAAAAGUGGCUUCUUCUUAUUGUAGUUUUUUCUUUGAUAUUAUUUUGGCCCUAGGCCCAUAAGCCUAAACCAAUUCAUGCUAUUGUGUGAACUACGUUUUGCAUAUCAAUCAUGUUGGAUAAAACAAGAGAUGUGUCUGGCUCUUGAGUCUUCGCAUAAAGAUGAUACUGCAAAUUCUAUUUCAUGGGAAUCCUUUUUCAAAA